ACACCUCAACUCUUCAUGGUUUUCCAUGAUGAGCUUGGACUUUGGGGGUCUUGCUGGCCUGCGGUCGGCUCCUCUCAAACAAAUCAGCUUGCCAGUGUUUGGUGGGCAUCACAGGUGUGAUAACUAUCUACGCUUGUGGUCUUCCACCAGGUAACCUUCAGCAGUGGAGGUUCGCUGGAGCUCACAGAUGUCUCUCCUCAGUGAGGACACAUUUUGACC
RNAcentral lists this unclassified non-coding RNA (219 nucleotides) under uncultured Thelephoraceae. Its description in RNAcentral is "sequence contains ITS2". The record is from RNAcentral. Lineage: Eukaryota; Fungi; Basidiomycota; Agaricomycetes; Thelephorales; Thelephoraceae.